This 224-nucleotide long non-coding RNA is filed under the name Gossypium barbadense (sea-island cotton). RNAcentral's name for it is "long non-coding RNA (GBAR_LNC000522)". Lineage: Eukaryota; Viridiplantae; Streptophyta; Magnoliopsida; Malvales; Malvaceae. The record is from RNAcentral.
CAAGACUCAACGACCGGGCAAAAUUGGUCUUUCUUAAGUCUUUGCUUUGUUCUCGUUACACGACAACAAGCAAAGAGGGGCAGCUGUACAACCCCAAUUUUGGGCCAAAAAUCCUUAAAACCUACCUAGCCUAAAACCCACAACCCACUAAACCUAACAGAAGCCCAAACAACCAAAACCUACCCAAAACUAAUCCCAAUCUGACCCAACUAGCCCAAAAAUUU